RNAcentral lists this ribosomal RNA (465 nucleotides) under uncultured Klebsiella sp. Its description in RNAcentral is "bacterial SSU rRNA". It matches the Rfam family "Bacterial small subunit ribosomal RNA", at positions 338 to 795 of the family's 1533-position model. Lineage: Bacteria; Pseudomonadati; Pseudomonadota; Gammaproteobacteria; Enterobacterales; Enterobacteriaceae. The record is from RNAcentral.
CCUACGGGGGGCUGCAGUGGGGAAUAUUGCACAAUGGGCGCAAGCCUGAUGCAGCCAUGCCGCGUGUGUGAAGAAGGCCUUCGGGUUGUAAAGCACUUUCAGCGGGGAGGAAGGCGGUGAGGUUAAUAACCUCAUCGAUUGACGUUACCCGCAGAAGAAGCACCGGCUAACUCCGUGCCAGCAGCCGCGGUAAUACGGAGGGUGCAAGCGUUAAUCGGAAUUACUGGGCGUAAAGCGCACGCAGGCGGUCUGUCAAGUCGGAUGUGAAAUCCCCGGGCUCAACCUGGGAACUGCAUUCGAAACUGGCAGGCUAGAGUCUUGUAGAGGGGGGUAGAAUUCCAGGUGUAGCGGUGAAAUGCGUAGAGAUCUGGAGGAAUACCGGUGGCGAAGGCGGCCCCCUGGACAAAGACUGACGCUCAGGUGCGAAAGCGUGGGGAGCAAACCGGAUUAGAUACCCUAGUAGUC